Molecule: ribosomal RNA, 619 nt
Filed under: uncultured Bacilli bacterium
Lineage: Bacteria; Bacillati; Bacillota; Bacilli
Description: bacterial SSU rRNA
Rfam family: Bacterial small subunit ribosomal RNA
Source: RNAcentral
GGGGGAUAACUAUUGGAAACGAUAGCUAAUACCGCAUAACAGUAGAUGUUGCAUGACAUUUGCUUAAAAGGUGCAAUUGCAUCACUACCAGAUGGACCUGCGUUGUAUUAGCUAGUUGGUGGGGUAACGGCUCACCAAGGCGACGAUACAUAGCCGACCUGAGAGGGUGAUCGGCCACACUGGGACUGAGACACGGCCCAGACUCCUACGGGAGGCAGCAGUAGGGAAUCUUCGGCAAUGGACGGAAGUCUGACCGAGCAACGACGCGUGAGUGAAGAAGGUUUUCGGAUCGUAAAGCUCUGUUGUAAGAGAAGAACGAGUGUGACAGUGGAAAGUUCACACUAGGACGGUAUCUUACCAGAACAGGGGACGGNGCUAACUACGUGCCAGCAGCCGCGGUAAUACGUAGGUCCCGAGCGUUGUCCGGAUUUAUUGGGCGUAAAGCGAGCGCAGGCGGUUAGAUAAGUCUGAAGUUAAAGGCUGUGGCUUAACCAUAGUACGCUUUGGAAACUGUUUAACUUGAGUGCAAGAGGGGAGAGUGGAAUUCCAUGUGUAGCGGGUGAAAUGCGUAGAUAUAUGGAGGAACACCUGGUGGCGAAAGCGGCUCUCUGGCUUGUAA